Molecule: unclassified non-coding RNA, 245 nt
Filed under: Hevea brasiliensis (rubber tree)
Lineage: Eukaryota; Viridiplantae; Streptophyta; Magnoliopsida; Malpighiales; Euphorbiaceae
Source: RNAcentral
AGAAAUUGGGGUGGUUUCUCCAUGUUGGAUCAUAAGUUGCAGAAAAUGAGUUACCACCUGGUCUUUGAUUGUAAUUCCCCACAUAAUACACUUGUUCACUUGAAAAACCUAGAUCAAAUGCAGAAAAAUCAGUUGCACAAUUGACAUUUGUAGCUCCAACAUCUACUAAAUUACUUGAACCUCCAACUGAAGAAUUUACUUUCAUGCUUAGCUUGUCCAUUUUCCUUGUCAAAGCAUCAAACUUA